This 1424-nucleotide long non-coding RNA is filed under the name Ananas comosus (pineapple). RNAcentral describes it as "long non-coding RNA (ACOM_LNC011146)". The record is from RNAcentral. Lineage: Eukaryota; Viridiplantae; Streptophyta; Magnoliopsida; Poales; Bromeliaceae.
UUGAACUUUUCCUAGUGCCCUUUUCAUGUGUUUCUUGGGGUUUCAUUUAUUAGGCUUUGGAAAAGUUGUGUUGAUGAGAGGUGAGGAGGAGUUACCUCCUACUUGAUUUGAGCUGGUUAGGAAUACAUUUUUAGAGAGAGAGAGAGAGAGAGAGAGAGAGAGAGAGAGAGGAGAGAAAACGAAAAAACAAACAAAACAAACAGCUUUAAGUGGAAGGUAACUUAUUUUGGGAGGGACUAUAUUUAGAGAGUUACAAGGUUCCUAUUGAUAGGAACUCUUCUUCUAAUAGAGAAAGAGGUUGGAGAGAAACUCAUGAAUAUUUCUCUCCUCCUCUUGGGCUUGGUUCAAACUGGGACUUCGAAUACUUUUGGAAUCCGAGGUAAUUCACUCGAUUUAUAAUUGUCUUUUCUCUUCUUUUUUUUCUUUUUUUUUUCCCCCCCGUUUUCUCAAUAACUAACUAUUCUAAUGUUUGUUGAGAAUUAUUAAGAUGGGAAUAAAUUAAAUUAAAUUAAAUCUUUGCUGCCCUUUUGCUUCAAUUGACAACAAAUGCAGUGAUUGAGCCUUUUCUGUCAUGAAAUGCUUUCCCCUCUUAAAAACAAGAGGUGGAAGAUCAGAUCGAAUCAAACUAUGUACAAUUUGCGCAGGAUUUUACCAAAUUACUUGAACAAGGAGCAUGAAUCAAACAAAACAUAUCUUGAUCUCUUGUUAGUCUCUUCAUCCGUUGCCAUACAGAACAACUGCACAUUAAAUUUGAAGAAUGGAGAGCGUAAAGAGACCCUCCCAAAUAGAAAUUCCGAGGAAGGAAGGAGCGCAGCCACAGCCGAUCCUGCAAAAACAGUCGAGUCAAAAGGCCAACUGCUUGUGCUCGCCGACGACGCACUCGGGCUCGUUUCGAUGCCGGCACCACCGCAACCCCUUUCGCGGCAGCAGCAACUCGGUCGGCUCGGGCCUCUCCGACCUAGCUGAUAAGACCACUUCGCCGGCGAAUGAUAACCUCAACCUUACUGAGGCGUCGUAAUCUCUACUUUCGCCAAUACUAAUAACACACUUCUUUUUCUUCUUUCUUUUUUUUUUCAAUUGCCUCCUCCUUAUCUAAGAACAACCCCAAUAUAUUAUAAAUAAUGGCUGUUGAUGUAUUUUAUUGUGGUGAUGGUAUUUGUAGUCCCCCCCCCAUAUGCUUCCUCCAUCUUUCCUUUUUUGCGUUUUUGUCGUAAUUGUGAUGUUUCAAUAAUAAUCUUUAGUCGAAAUUAGUAUUCUCAGAUGAAUGCGUGCGUGCACGUGGAAAGAGAUGCGAGCUUAAUAAAAAGAUGUCGCCAACCAGUUAUGCGAAUGAAGAGAAUUCUAGAACAUCCCAAAUUUACAGAACUGAAUAUAAUCUCAUCAACAAACAGGUCUCGGACCGAAUUUACAUUAUCGAAAAAAAA